GUUGCUUUAUUCCAAAGGAUGGGAGCUACUUGGAUCAUCAAUAUGAUCUCAAGAAAGGAACUCCUAAUGUGGUUCAUUUCCUUAUCCUUUCUUUUUUUCUUUUUGUUUUUUUGUUUUUUUUGUUUUUGUUGUUUUCCUUAAGACUUAGCCAUUCUUCUUCUUCUCUCCACUCUAACCCAAGCCAAAACCUUUUGUGCAAACAUUUAACUAUUGUUUUCAAACAUUAGAAACCUAAGCCUUAUACUUUUGAUUUUCA
RNAcentral lists this long non-coding RNA (256 nucleotides) under Lathyrus oleraceus (garden pea). RNAcentral's name for it is "Pisum sativum (pea) long non-coding RNA (PSAT_LNC020496)". Lineage: Eukaryota; Viridiplantae; Streptophyta; Magnoliopsida; Fabales; Fabaceae. The record is from RNAcentral.